Molecule: ribosomal RNA, 774 nt
Filed under: uncultured Enterobacteriaceae bacterium
Lineage: Bacteria; Pseudomonadati; Pseudomonadota; Gammaproteobacteria; Enterobacterales; Enterobacteriaceae
Description: bacterial SSU rRNA
Rfam family: Bacterial small subunit ribosomal RNA
Source: RNAcentral
UAGAGUUUGAUCCUGGCUCAGAUUGAACGCUGGCGGCAGGCCUAACACAUGCAAGUCGAGCGGUAGCACAGAGGAGCUUGCUCCUCGGGUGACGAGCGGCGGACGGGUGAGUAAUGUCUGGGAAACUGCCUGAUGGAGGGGGAUAACUACUGGAAACGGUAGCUAAUACCGCAUAACGUCGCAAGACCAAAGAGGGGGACCUUCGGGCCUCUUGCCAUCAGAUGUGCCCAGAUGGGAUUAGCUAGUAGGUGGGGCAACGGCUCACCUAGGCGACGAUCCCUAGCUGGUCUGAGAGGAUGACCAGCCACACUGGAACUGAGACACGGUCCAGACUCCUACGGGAGGCAGCAGUGGGGAAUAUUGCACAAUGGGCGCAAGCCUGAUGCAGCCAUGCCGCGUGUAUGAAGAAGGCCUUCGGGUUGUAAAGUACUUUCAGCGGGGAGGAAGGUGUUGAGGCUAAUAACCUCAGCAAUUGACGUUACCCGCAGAAGAAGCACCGGCUAACUCCGUGCCAGCAGCCGCGGUAAUACGGAGGGUGCAAGCGUUAAUCGGAAUUACUGGGCGUAAAGCGCACGCAGGCGGUCUGUCAAGUCGGAUGUGAAAUCCCCGGGCUCAACCUGGGAACUGCAUUCGAAACUGGCAGGCUAGAGUCUUGUAGAGGGGGGUAGAAUUCCAGGUGUAGCGGUGAAAUGCGUAGAGAUCUGGAGGAAUACCGGUGGCGAAGGCGGCCCCCUGGACAAAGACUGACGCUCAGGUGCGAAAGCGUGGGGAGCA